Molecule: ribosomal RNA, 253 nt
Filed under: uncultured bacterium
Lineage: Bacteria
Description: partial 16S ribosomal RNA
Rfam family: Bacterial small subunit ribosomal RNA
Source: RNAcentral
UACGGGGGGAGCAAGCGUUGUUCGGAUUUACUGAGCGUAAAGGGCGCGUAGGCGGCGCUGUAAGUCACUUGUGAAAUCUCUGAGCUUAACUCAGAACGGCCAAGUGAUACUGCAGUGCUAGAGUGCAGAAGGGGCAAUCGGAAUUCUUGGUGUAGCGGUGAAAUGCGUAGAUAUCAAGAGGAACACCUGAGGUGAAGACGGGUUGCUAGGCUGACACUGACGCUGAGGCGCGAAAGCCAGGGGAGCAAACGGG